Non-coding RNA from Pelobates cultripes (western spadefoot toad), 289 nucleotides. The record is from the annotation of a GenBank genome assembly. Lineage: Eukaryota; Metazoa; Chordata; Amphibia; Anura; Pelobatidae.
ACAACUAUCUGAUUUGAAGAUUUAUCAAGCCCUCACGGGAGACCCCACGGAAAGGAUUAAACAUCAGAUUAGCAAUACACUACAAAGAGGACUGGACAGUGGCUUUUUCACUUUGGAACUUAGCCAAUAUUUAUUACAAAAUUCAUCCAAAACUCCGGUCAUAUAUACACUUCCAAAGGUUCAUAAGAACUCAACCAAUUGUAUCUGCCGUAGAUGGCAUUUUAUAACCAGUUGGACUUUUUAUUUAAAGAAACCGUUGAGAAUCUGGAGACUUGUAUUAAGGAUACAC